Molecule: long non-coding RNA, 1510 nt
Organism: Juglans regia (Persian walnut)
Lineage: Eukaryota; Viridiplantae; Streptophyta; Magnoliopsida; Fagales; Juglandaceae
Exons: 6
Source: RefSeq, a predicted model, not a curated record
ACAACCUAAUUGCUAGGGCUUUAGGUUUUACGUACCAAAGGAUGUUCCUAGGAAACAACUUUAUGCAGCGGAAGAAGAAGAUGCAGUUCUUCAUGCGGCGCAGAUCUUGAGGUUUCCAGGGACCCUCGCAUAGCCUACUCAGCCAACUAGACGGUAGAAUUUGUUAUGAAUCCCAUUAAAGUGGCUGGGCUUGAUGUCCAACUUAGUUGAGUAAAGGUUGUUUAGUGGCCCAUGGACCUAGUUAAUGUUAGUUAGAAUGGGCCAAGGCCUUUGUUAGCUGUUGCUGAAUUUCCAUUAUAUAUAGAGAAAAAGGGAUCAUUGUUUGGAGAUUCUGGAAGAUUAUUGCUGAAACACUUUCUGGUUUUUCUUGGAUGAAUUGGGGACCUCGAAUACCCAAGGCGUAGCUAUUAUCAUCAUUUUUUUUAUUGUUCAUGUCUUGCAUGAUUGUUACAUUCAUCUAGUAUUAUCUCUCCUUUGUUCUUGAUUUCCUUUAUCUUCUAUAUUAAUAUUUCCUUCACUGGAGGGUUCAUUACAAAUGGGCAGAACCACAAGAAAGGGAUAUUGAAGAUUUAUUUGACGAUAACUGCGAUGCUGAUGAAAUUCCUACUAUCAAACUCGGGUUUGACAGGAUAUCGCCUUAUUUACAGAAUCCGGAUGAGAACCAACUGGUGAUGCUUCGCAACCAUAAUUUUUCAAGAGCUUUUUGCUUUGCCUGCAGAAGCUGCUUCCAUCCCCAUGCCUAAAUUGAAGAAUGUUGGCCGCUUAAGGACAGAGACAUGUACAUUAAUUGAAAGAUCCAACUUUCAGAAAUCAAGAGACAUGUGUAACUCCAAGUCUGGAGACUUUGCAACGAGGAGGCAUGCUUUUGUUGCAAUAGUAUUAGAGAACAGAACUCCAACACAAUUCGAGGAACAAUUUUGAUACCCAGUCGUACGGCAAUGAAGGGGAGUUCCCUCUCAAUGGAACAUACAUUCAAGUUAAUGAGGUAUUUGCUGAUGAUGAAACUAGCCAAAACCCAAUCCAUGUUCCUAGAGAAUGGAUUUGGCAUUUAGAACGGCGAACUGCAUACUUUGCAUCUUCAGCAACUGCAGUAUUUAGAGGUUUAUCAGUGGAUGCAAUUCGGAGCUGCUUUUAAGGAAGGGUUUAUUUGUGUGAGAGGAUUUGACAGAAGAACAGGAGUUCCAAGACCCCUGGGCAAAAAGACAAGAAUGGAAGAUGAGUAGAAGAUGACACAGAAAACUCAGCUAAAAAAGUAUUCCUUAAUGUGUUUUGCAAUUUUGAUAUGGUUUGACAUGAGGCAAACAACUAGGUGGAUACAUAUCGAGAGCUUCUUUGACACGAUCUUAUUGUAGUUAUCACUUGUAUUUAACAGAAACAGAACAGUUGCAUUAGAAACAUCCAGUGAUCCACACAGAGAGCGCCGGAAAUAUUGUUGUACUGAUUCGUAAAGAAAUUAAAAUUAUUCUGAUCAAAUGAAGAUGUUUCUCGAAAAGUCAUCCAUCCAAUGAAA